This 608-nucleotide ribosomal RNA is filed under the name uncultured crenarchaeote. RNAcentral describes it as "bacterial SSU rRNA". It matches the Rfam family "Archaeal small subunit ribosomal RNA", at positions 579 to 1193 of the family's 1478-position model. Lineage: Archaea; Thermoproteati; Thermoproteota. The record is from RNAcentral.
GGAUACUGUCCGGCUUGGGGGUGAGAGAGGCCGACGGUAUCCCGGGGUAGGGGUGAAAUCCUAUAAUCCCGGGAGGACCACCAGUGGCGAAGGCUGUCGGCUAGAACAUGCCCGACGGUGAGGGAUGAAAGCUGGGGGAGCGAACCGGAUUAGAUACCCGGGUAGUCCCAGCUGUAAACGAUGCAGGCUAGGUGUUAGUGCGGCCACGUGCCGCUCUAGUGCCGCAGGGAAGCUGUUAAGCCUGCCGCCUGGGGAGUACGGCCGCAAGGCUGAAACUUAAAGGAAUUGGCGGGGGAGCACCACAAGGGGUGAAGCUUGCGGUUUAAUUGGAGUCAACGCCGGAAAUCUCACCGGGGGCGACAGCAGGAUGAAAGCCAGAUUAAAGGUCUUGCCAGACGAGCUGAGAGGAGGUGCAUGGCCGUCGCCAGUUCGUGCCGUGAGGUGUCCUGUUAAGUCAGGCAACGAUCGAGACCCGCAUCUCCAGUUGCUACUAGCCUUGAGCUGGGCACACUGGGGAGACCGCCGCCGAUAAGGCGGAGGAAGGAGCGGGCCACGGCAGGUCAGUAUGCCCCGAAUCUCCCGGGCCACACGCGAGCUGCAAUGGCAGG